UCGUUGCAAUUCCUACCCUAAGAUUGUGCGGACCAAAUCUCUAUUCCCUUACACCAAAUGUCAGGGCUUAACCGGUCCGUUCGGUCUAUAAAUUUCGGUUUGUUACUUCUUCAGUUCUUUCAUUUUAGAGUAAUUGGUGGCAGUGCACCCAAACUCACUUCUAAUUAGCAUCAUACACUCUACUUCAAAAGCCACAAUCUAUGACUUUUUUACCCCUGAUAGCUGUCCCCCUAUGGCUCAGAUCCUCUGCGUUUUGUGUCAGUGGACUCAUCUUUUACACAUCGGUCAAUGAAAUGUCUAUGUCUUUCUCCAAAAGCAUACGAAACUGUGAGAGUUUUGUAUCUUUGUUCCAAUUUUAAGCAUCAAAAAGUUGCAAUUCAAAUUUCUUCAAUCACUCUCUUUUGUUCUUCUUUCUCAUUUGUUCUUUAAGCCUUUAGUUGUUGUUUCACCAUUCUCAUCUUUAAAAAAACUCCAGAAUCCAAAUUACAAUAGUGAGACUCUACAAUCUUCGCCAAAAUCCCGAUAAUGACUUAGUCCUUUCAUAAAUAUGUAAGCGGUUGUAGAGAAACUCACCGACUGUUUUGAAGGAGGAGAAGAAGAUAAGAAAACGUGUAAGAGCUAUCUUUCUCUCUCUCUUGUCAUGUUUCUAUACUCUCUCAUCAGUUACUAUUGCUUGUCUCUGGCCAUAGACGGUGGUGUCAAAGAUCAUAGAUGAUAAGUAUCAUCAUAGGAGGAAUGGAACCUCCACCGUGGGGUUAAGAUGAAGUUCAUGUCUUGGUCGUCGAUGACAACAUCGUUGAUCAGAUUAUCACAGAGAGAUAAUGUGAAGGCCGAAAAGUUUUGGUGAUAAUAUGAUUGUUACGGUUGCAAUUAGCCUGAUCAUUUUAUUAUUUAGCACAACCAUAUCUUGUUUACUCGU
RNAcentral lists this long non-coding RNA (919 nucleotides) under Brassica napus (rape). Its description in RNAcentral is "long non-coding RNA (BNAP_LNC007892)". Lineage: Eukaryota; Viridiplantae; Streptophyta; Magnoliopsida; Brassicales; Brassicaceae. The record is from RNAcentral.